This 253-nucleotide ribosomal RNA is filed under the name uncultured bacterium. Its description in RNAcentral is "partial 16S ribosomal RNA". It matches the Rfam family "Bacterial small subunit ribosomal RNA", at positions 524 to 776 of the family's 1533-position model. The record is from RNAcentral.
UACGUAGGGUGCAAGCGUUGUCCGGAAUUAUUGGGCGUAAAGAGCUCGUAGGCGGUUUGUCGCGUCGGAUGUGAAAGCCCGGGGCUUAACCCCGGGUCUGCAUUCGAUACGGGCAGGCUAGAGUUCGGUAGGGGAGAUCGGAAUUCCUGGUGUAGCGGUGAAAUGCGCAGAUAUCAGGAGGAACACCGGUGGCGAAGGCGGAUCUCUGGGCCGAUACUGACGCUGAGGAGCGAAAGCGUGGGGAGCGAACAGG